Long non-coding RNA from Pogoniulus pusillus (Red-fronted tinkerbird), 635 nucleotides. RefSeq lists it as uncharacterized. The transcript is spliced from 3 exons. The record is from RefSeq and is a predicted model, not a curated record. Lineage: Eukaryota; Metazoa; Chordata; Aves; Piciformes; Lybiidae.
GAAGCCAUAGCUGAUCAACUCCUACAUUUGUCCCACUGGUGCUGGCCUGCUGCUGACAGUGUGGAUCAAGGCAUCCUUGCCCUGGCAAGAGGACAUUUCCCUGUAAUUCUGGUUUCCUCCAGCAGUGCAUUCCUACAAAUAACAUGGGCACUUUCCUGGGAUGCAGACCUCUCAAAGAAAAAGAAAACCUGAGGAAAAAAGAAGCUUUACAAAAAUUUAGAAGAAAGAAAAUCAUCAAUGACCUCCACUGGACACAGACACAGGUUACAGCAAGGUCAGGACUGAGCACUGUACAUCCUUUUGCUUCCUAAAUAUCGGACACUUAAUUCCAAAGGCUCUGUCACAGAGGUGGAAAUGCACCUACAAGGACACCUUCUCUCCAUUCUGCCCAUACAGUUACUCCUGCAUACAAAACCCGCUCUUCCUGGAGCAAGGCUACUCAGCUCUAGCUUCAAAGCCAAGGGAAGACCAGAUUACUUUGCCUUACUGAAACUCUGAUACAAUGAGAAGAGCUCAGUUUAACCAGACCUUUCAUGACUCUCUGAACUAAAAGGAGGCUGGAAUGAGAGCUUCACAUUCAGAUGUGAACAAAAGUGAGAUUGCUUCAGUGUGAGAAGAAAAAAAAGCCAAUAAAA